This is a long non-coding RNA of Lepidothrix coronata (blue-crowned manakin), 1218 nucleotides long. RefSeq lists it as uncharacterized. The record is from RefSeq and is a predicted model, not a curated record. The transcript is spliced from 3 exons. NCBI's taxonomy places the organism in Eukaryota, Metazoa, Chordata, Aves, Passeriformes, Pipridae.
CCUCCCCACAGCCCUGCCCAGAGCUGCCUACACACACAGGGGAUGGACAAGCUCCUUUUGGGGUGGGGGUGAGGGCUUAGGGGAGAGCAGCUGGUGCUGCCACUACCCCAGUGCAACACUGGCCCCUCUGACUGUGCAGCAAGCCAAGCCUAAAAUCACCCAGCACUGCAUCUGACAGGCUCAAACCAGGUCUGUGGGGUUAGAUACAAUGGUUCAAAGGUUGGACUUGAUGAUCUUGGACGUCUUUUCCAACCUUAAUUAUUCUCUGAUUUAUUUUUUUCCAAGAUAGGAUGGAUGAAAGGGGCAGUCUGCUCUGAUCCUGGGACAGCGUGUCCUUUGGAGACCACCACAUGAAGCCAGGACAAACCACAGCAGGUUUUGCCUGUACAUCAUGGAGACAUCUUUGUCCAAAGCCAUUUUCUAGAAAGCCUUGGAAAACCAGUGCUUGCAAUGGCACCCAGAAAGCUUGCAAGGAUGAUCAUUGAGGGAUGUAUUUCCUAGAGAACAGCGGUUCUUCUGUCUCUAAAAAUAUCACAGAAUCAUAGGACAUCCUGAGCUGGAAGAGACCCCCAAGGAUCAUCAAGUUCAACUCCUGACCCUGCACAGGAAAACCCCAAAAAUCACACUGUGUGCCUGAGACCAUCAAUAUGUGCCAAAGUCUUCCAGAGCAUGGACUGCAGCAGCCAAAACCUUAAAUCUGAACAGCAGGAUUCAAGGCCAAGAGCCAGCAGUGAGAUGCUCCCAUACAACAACUGUGCAGGCGAAUACUGGAGGAUGAGAACACACUGGAGCUGGAAAAACAAAAGGCUGAAUAGAAACAUGUGCCAUUUCCAACCUACAGGCUUCUGUGAUAAAAGAAUGGAACAAAUUACAGCAGAGGUGUUACAUCCAGCACAGUACUGGAGAGCGCGUGUGAAGGUCUCCAGGGGUCAGGUUUGCUGCCACAAAGCAAGGUGCCCCCAUCCAUGAUUGCAAACACAAAGGGAGCACGAGCAACCAGAGCAGAGCAGCAACAUGGACUGAUGAAAGAGAGGGGAGAAGGAGUCCUGGGACAGACCCUUAGGGCUGCAAAUCUCUCAUCUCUCUCAUUUCCAGGAUAAAGCACUCACAGAGAGUUGAAGCAUCUGUCUCCUAACAAAUGAUGAAAUUUUAUUUCACUGCCAUCAACUUCUAAAUAACACACACUAUUUGUUACCAUCAGCUUCAGAAGCACCAUCC